AAACAAAAGAACCUGAAAAAGGUUCUGGUGAUAAUACAUUUUUCAAUGUUUUAAUCCCUUUCAGAUCCAGCGGACAUGGAGAGGAUUCUUUGUAAGGAAGUAUAUUCAUAACUUCUACGCACGCAAAAAAUAUCUGGAGCAAGUUUGCUGGAAAAAUGAACACAUCAGGAGAGAGCUUGAUGAACUUGAAGAACUUCAGAAGCGAGAGAGAAACUGUCUGGAGAUGAUGAAGGAGCAGACAGCCAAGGUCUACAAAGCUCACCGGUUACAUCACCUCAUGAGUACAAAGCAGUGUCCAGGGGUCUUCAACUCUCCAUUCAGGCCAGCUCCCCAUGAGAUGGAGCUACUGCUUAGGCAGGUCAAGUACGAGGCCCCCACCAGACUAGUCCCCAGAUACAGGGAUUGUCACGUGGGUAUGCCUGACUCAGCAGCACCUAGUUUCCCUGGGAAUCUUGGAUCCCCAUGGAUCAAAACUACCAGAACCUGCUUCUCCUGCAAGCCCAUGCUGCCCCCUAUCGUCAACAAGAAACAGCAGGAUCUGUUCAGAGAGCCAGGGGAAGUGUGGCAGCAGUUUGUGAAUUAUCCUGAGCUGAUGUUGCGGCUGCAGACCUCUUACAAACACCUGGAGGAGGCCCAGAAUCAACAAUGACAAUUUGGGAAUCCUGGAUCCAUUCUCUGAUUAAUGAGAUUGAGAGUCAAUGACAAGAGCUCUCUGAAGCAUCAUGCCAUCUAUCACUCCAUCUCCCUGUCUCUCCCUGUAAUCCAGCCAACAUCUUUUUUGUAGGACAUGAAAAUUAAUGUGUUUUCACAUUUACACUUUGCUAUCCUCAACUUUCGUUUUUCGUUUUUCCCUUUGCCUUAUUCUUUAUAUUUAUACUCUGAUAUAUAUUCUAGUAUUCCCUUUUCCUGCCUCGCAUACAGCAUAUUGCUAUGUUAUGAGAAAAAAGUAGUAUGGUUUGUGGUGUGUGUCUGUGUGUGAGAGACUGUGUGUUUGUGUGCGCGGGUGUGUAUGUAAGAGGGACCCCAUGCUGUGUGUGUAAUUUCUUGUUUGUACAUGGAUCCAAACAUCUUUGGCCACUGCAGAGCAGGGGGAGAUAUGUAGAAAGACAGAGCGGUUGAAAAAGACAACAAGAAAAGAUUAAGAGAAGAGGAUAGAGAGGGGGGUGGAUAGGAGAAAAACAGGAUCACAACAAAAGCAGCUCAGAUUUCGCAAAUGCAUAUUUCAUCAAUCAUUGGAAUAAGUCUUGGUGAUUAUGCAUGGUGGUGGCAGUUGGGGUGGGGGUGAUUACCAUAUACCAUAAAGGCUGCUUUCUUAUCUCACACACACUGAUUAGUUUCUGUCUGCAGAUAGCCUCUCACUCUUUGCUCUUUUGCCACGCAUACACACACACACACACACACACACACACACACAUAGGCCUACUCAUGGGGUGUGUCUAUCUGUGGCAUACACAUACAUGUACAUGUAAACACAAGCACAUAAACAAUACUGAUAAAAUUCUAGGUGAAAGGAAUUUACCUGGUGCUAGUAGGCCAACCAGAAGAACCAGAUGAUUAAAGUUCACUGAACAUCUCAUUAUAAUUACUUGCACUCAAUCAGGAGUCUGAAUAAUUAUUCAGCGAACUGUGGUAAAACACUGAGCACUUAGAUUUUUGGUUCCAAAUGGCCUCAUUGACAAGCAAGUGUGUUUUUCAGCAAAUAUAUGCAGCCAGUUUGGCAAGAAGGUAAGACUGUAGCUGAAAAACUGUUGUUUUUAUUUUAAAUGGUAGAUAUUUUCCAGAAUUUUUAAAUGUUUUUUUCCUUUGCUUGUUGUCCUGUUUUGGCACAGUAGGUCAUUUUCCUGACGAUGCAGAACAAGAGAGAUAAUGUCAGACGGGGAGGAUGUGGAGGUGAGGCUGAGGCAAAAUUAGUACAUAUGAAAGGCCUCGCUUUGUGUCUCAACCAGAGAAUUAGAAAUUGCUCUUUUCUCUCGCAUUCCAAUCUCUCUCCCUCUCUGAUAUAUAAUGUAAACUCAUUUGGUAACCAGGCUGGAGCUGUGUUGCGCUAUCUGAGUGCCUGCAUGUAAGAAGUGUGCCUGGGAUGCAUUAGGCCCUCCUGACAGGGGCCUGGGUGAAAUAAGUGAAAUUAAUGGAGCUCCUUUCAUGUCGGACAAGGCCGCGGCACCCCUUUCAAGCAGUAUACAGUCACAGAAAAGUCAAUACUUUUUUAUUACUCCUCGCUUGCCCUACAUUCUCCACUACAAGUGCUCUGCUCACUAAUUGGUUUCAGUUUGCAGGGAAAAGGAGAGCGAGUGAAAUGGGAGAGAAAGAGAGGGUGAGGACUCCAUUCCCAAAGAACACUGAAGCAAAUAAAUCAAUCUCAUAUUUUUUCUCUCUGCUGUCUUUUCUCAUUGAGUAACAUCAUGGCAAAAAAAGCAAGAGAGAUGGGAGAGAUAGAGGUGAGAGGGAGAGGGUAAAUGGUUGGUUAGGGCACACCGGGUCCCCAGGGAGCAUAAUAAUAUCUGGGAGCCUGUUAAUGGACACAAGUGGUUAAAGUGGUCUGAGGCCCUGGCCAGGUCACCUGUGGGGGUUUCUAGCCAGCAACUCCACCUCAGCUCCAAGCAUUGUGGCCUCAGAGGCACAAAACAUAAUUUCAG
Molecule: long non-coding RNA, 2636 nt
Filed under: Mastacembelus armatus (zig-zag eel)
Lineage: Eukaryota; Metazoa; Chordata; Actinopteri; Synbranchiformes; Mastacembelidae
Description: lncRNA (ENSMAMG00000026903.1)
Source: RNAcentral